CCUACGGGAGGCAGCAGUGGGGAAUAUUGCACAAUGGGGGAAACCCUGAUGCAGCAACGCCGCGUGAGUGAGGAAGUAUUUCGGUAUGUAAAGCUCUAUCAGCAGGGAAUAGAAAAGAAGGUACCUGACCAAGAAGCACCGGCUAACUACGGGCCAGCAGCCGCGGUAAUACGUAGGGGGCAAGCGUUAUCCGGAUUUACUGGGUGUAAAGGGAGCGUAGGCGGAAAGGCAAGUCAGCAGUGAAAGCCCAAGGCUCAAACAUGGGACUGCUUUUGAAACUGGCAAACUAGAGUACGGGAGAGGUAUGAGGAAUGCCUGGUGUAGCGGUGAAAUGCGUAGAUAUUAGGAGGAACACCAGUGGCGAAGGCGUCUUACUGGACCGAAACUGACGUUGAGGCACGAAAGCGUGGGGAGCAAACAGGAUUAGAUACCCGUGUAGUC
RNAcentral lists this ribosomal RNA (441 nucleotides) under uncultured bacterium. RNAcentral's name for it is "partial 16S ribosomal RNA". It matches the Rfam family "Bacterial small subunit ribosomal RNA", at positions 338 to 795 of the family's 1533-position model. The record is from RNAcentral.